UUACAACUUUCAACAACGGAUCUCUUGGUUCUGGCAUCGAUGAAGAACGCAGCGAAAUGCGAUACGUAGUGUGAAUUGCAGAAUUCAGUGAAUCAUCGAAUCUUUGAACGCACAUUGCGCCCUUUGGUAUUCCAAAGGGCAUGCCUGUUCGAGCGUCAUUU
This 161-nucleotide ribosomal RNA is filed under the name Alternaria infectoria. RNAcentral describes it as "5.8S ribosomal RNA". It matches the Rfam family "5.8S ribosomal RNA". Rfam says of the family: 5.8S ribosomal RNA (5.8S rRNA) is a component of the large subunit of the eukaryotic ribosome. RNAcentral also lists the same sequence under 2 other names. Lineage: Eukaryota; Fungi; Ascomycota; Dothideomycetes; Pleosporales; Pleosporaceae. The record is from RNAcentral.